AACGAACGCUGGCGGCAUGCCUAACACAUGCAAGUCGAACAAGACCUUCGGGUCUAGUGGCGCACGGGUGCGUAACGCAUGGGAACCUGCCCUUAGGUUCGGAAUAACUCCCCGAAAGGGGUGCUAAUACCGGAUAAUGUCUUCGGACCAAAGAUUUAUCGCCUUUGGAUGGGCCCGCGUUGGAUUAGCUAGUUGGUAGGGUAAAAGCCUACCAAGGCGACGAUCCAUAGCUGGUCUGAGAGGAUGAUCAGCCACACUGGGACUGAGACACGGCCCAGACUCCUACGGGAGGCAGCAGUGGGGAAUAUUGGACAAUGGGCGAAAGCCUGAUCCAGCAAUGCCGCGUGAGUGAUGAAGGCCUUAGGGUUGUAAAGCUCUUUUACCCGGGAUGAUAAUGACAGUACCGGGAGAAUAAGCUCCGGCUAACUCCGUG
This 433-nucleotide ribosomal RNA is filed under the name uncultured bacterium. RNAcentral describes it as "partial 16S ribosomal RNA". It matches the Rfam family "Bacterial small subunit ribosomal RNA", at positions 29 to 507 of the family's 1533-position model. The record is from RNAcentral.